RNAcentral lists this ribosomal RNA (495 nucleotides) under uncultured bacterium. Its description in RNAcentral is "partial 16S ribosomal RNA". It matches the Rfam family "Bacterial small subunit ribosomal RNA", at positions 28 to 507 of the family's 1533-position model. The record is from RNAcentral.
GACGAACGCUGGCGGCGUGCCUAAUACAUGCAAGUAGAACGCUGAAGGAGGAGCUUGCUCUUCUGGAUGAGUUGCGAACGGGUGAGUAACGCGUAGGUAACCUGCCUGGUAGCGGGGGAUAACUAUUGGAAACGAUAGCUAAUACUGCAUAACAGUAGAUGUUGCAUGACAUUUACUUAAAAGGUGCAAUUGCAUCACUACCAGAUGGACCUGCGUUGUAUUAGCUAGUUGGUGGGGUAACGGCUCACCAAGGCGACGAUACAUAGCCGACCUGAGAGGGUGAUCGGCCACACUGGGACUGAGACACGGCCCAGACUCCUACGGGAGGCAGCAGUAGGGAAUCUUCGGCAAUGGACGGAAGGCUGACCGAGCAACGCCGCGUGAGUGAAGAAGGGUUUCGGAUCGUAAAGCUCUGUUGUAAGAGAAGAACGAGUGUGAGAGUGGAAAGUUCACACUGUGACGGUAUCUUACCAGAAAGGGACGGCUAACUACGUG